This 1226-nucleotide long non-coding RNA is filed under the name Lonchura striata (white-rumped munia). RNAcentral's name for it is "domestica (Bengalese finch) lncRNA (ENSLSDG00000003243.1)". The record is from RNAcentral. Lineage: Eukaryota; Metazoa; Chordata; Aves; Passeriformes; Estrildidae.
UUGAGCUGUUGGGGCUGGGUUGGACUCGAUGAUCCUGAAGGUCUCUUCCAACCCAGUGACUGUGAAAUCUGUGAUUCUGUGAAUUCUGUGAUUCUGUGAAUUCUGUGAUUCUGUGAAUUCUGUGAAUUCUGUGAAUUCGGUGAGGUGCUGCUCCCUCCAGGUGCCACCCAGGAGGGACUGAGGCUGGCUGUGCGUCCUCCUCCAGGGCCAGGUGACAAGAGGUGGCACAGGGAUGAGUUUCCAGGCGGGUUUGGGGCUGUGGGGUGCAGGGGAAGCAGCUGAGCGCCCUGCAGGUGCUGGAGGCUGCUGGGGCUGCAGCUGGCACCUGCAACGAUGGCAGGGCUGCUGGGGAAGGGAGCUGGGCCACGGGGAGCCCUGGAAGGAGCAGGACAACUCCCAUUUUUUGAGAAGUUUUGGCUGGGAUUAGAGCUGCUUGCAAGAAGAAUUUUUGCAUUCCCAGAGGGGAGGAAGGCCAAUUGUCAACUGCAAGAUUAGCAAUGCAGUCAGCUGGUGUUUUAAAUAACAGGAGAGAUUCUGGAACGUGAAAACAAAUUAAUCCUUGCCAUGGAUGAGAAAGCGUUACCUGAAAUUUUUGUUGUGUAUUUAGAGCUUAGCAACAGAUGCUGCACCUGGAAAAAAGGGAAUUUACAGAGAGGGUGGGAAGCAAAUCCUGAAGUGGGUUUGUCCUCUGUUGUCCAAGGAAGAGGAAUUCUGCAUUUCCUGACAGCAGAAGGCACAAAGGUGAUGCUCAGAGGUGUUUGAUCACCACCUGUGAGUGCAGAGAUUUCAUCUCUGUGAAAUCUGUCUCCUCUCUUCCUGUGCUGCAGGCAGCUCCAAAACAUCUCUGCUCUUUUAUUUUGCGCUUUCUAAAUAAUACCUAAGAAGGAGAUAGCUGAUAAGGAGGUAAUUUUAUGUUUUGCUUUAAGUGUGCAUCAUUUUCCCUUUCUGUUGUGACAUUGAUUUAUGUAUUAUGCCAGAAAUAGAAAAUGUGUAUGGAAAGAGCAGCAGCAUCCCACACAGAACCACUCAAUUCAGCCUGGAAAGUCACUCACAGGAUUUAAAAUCACAUCACAGGGCUUUUUGCUCUUAGACUUCACCUUUCAUUACAAAAUAAGUUUCUAUUUUUUCCACUGUCCUGCCACCUUCAGUUGAUCCAAUUCUCCCUGCUCUGUAAUACAGUCAUUAAAUAUUGACUCUAAUCCUUGAUUUUUAGUGUAUUAAUUGUC